AAAACACCCUUCAUUACCUCUCUUCAUUUUCGUUGGUGGGAUCAUACUGCUCCUUUUACUGAUCAUCAUAUUCAUCUCUCGAAAAGUGAUCAAACGCGCGAAAUUCAGAACGCUCAUUGCUCGGGCAGUGCAUCGACCAGCUAUUUCAACUUCGAGACAUUGAAGAAGGCUACCAAGAACUUCGACCAGUUGAAUCUUCUCGGAAGAGGUGGAUUUGGGCCUGUCUACUUGGGAAAGUUGGCCGAUGGAAGGCUGGUUGCUCUGAAAAAGCUGGCAUUCUAGAAAUCUCAGCAGGGAGAAUCAGAAUUCCUUGAUCACGAGCAUACAGCACAAGAAUCUCGUUCGACUUCUGGGUUGCUGUUCUGAUGGGGCGCAACGGCUUCUUGUCUAUGAGUACAUGAAAAACAGAAGUUUAGACCUUAUUUUUUAUGGUAGAACAUGACAUUGCUCGAGCUCAAAUGAAGCAAAAUUUCAUAUGAUUUGUGUAUGCAGGCAAAAAUGACAUAUUAUUGAACUGGGGCACGCGAUUUCAAAUCAUUCUCGGGGUUGCUCGAGGCCUACAGUAUCAGAAUCAUACACCGGGACAUUAAAGCUAGCAACAUUCUCCUUGAUGAUAGAUUUCAACCUAGAAUAGGCGACUUUGGCCUUGCGAGGUUUUUCCCAGAGGAUCAAGCGUAUCUCAGUACCGCAUUUGCUGGAACCUUAGCCUACACUGCACCCGAAUACGCCAUCAGAGGGGAGCUAACUGAAAAGGCAGACAUAUACAGCUUCGGAGUUCUGGUGCUUGAGAUUAUCAGCUGCAGGAGAAACACUGACCUAACUUUGCCAUCAGAGAUGCAAUACCUUCCAGAAUAUGUAAACUUAUCAUCCUUCACUAAAUAUCUUUACUUGUCACUCAUUUUGAUGCUCGUUAUCGCACUACGUGAUGGAGUACGUACUAAACAAGCCCAUCAGCCUAAAGCCCAAGAAAGAGUAUCAGUUCGGCAUGACUAAAGAGUAUCAGUCCGGCAUGACUAAAGAGUUCAGUUCGGCACAACCAAAG
This is a long non-coding RNA of Salvia splendens (bonfire salvia), 1042 nucleotides long. RefSeq lists it as uncharacterized. NCBI's taxonomy places the organism in Eukaryota, Viridiplantae, Streptophyta, Magnoliopsida, Lamiales, Lamiaceae. The record is from RefSeq and is a predicted model, not a curated record. The transcript is spliced from 4 exons.